This 1501-nucleotide ribosomal RNA is filed under the name Enterobacter cloacae. RNAcentral's name for it is "bacterial SSU rRNA". It matches the Rfam family "Bacterial small subunit ribosomal RNA". Lineage: Bacteria; Pseudomonadati; Pseudomonadota; Gammaproteobacteria; Enterobacterales; Enterobacteriaceae. The record is from RNAcentral.
GACCUUANNNNNUUNNUNCCCCCNNUNUCAGAUGAACGCUGGCGGCAGGCCUAACACAUGCAAGUCGAACGGUAGCACAGAGAGCUUGCUCUCGGGUGACGAGUGGCGGACGGGUGAGUAAUGUCUGGGAAACUGCCUGAUGGAGGGGGAUAACUACUGGAAACGGUAGCUAAUACCGCAUAACGUCGCAAGACCAAAGAGGGGGACCUUCGGGCCUCUUGCCAUCAGAUGUGCCCAGAUGGGAUUAGCUAGUAGGUGGGGUAACGGCUCACCUAGGCGACGAUCCCUAGCUGGUCUGAGAGGAUGACCAGCCACACUGGAACUGAGACACGGUCCAGACUCCUACGGGAGGCAGCAGUGGGGAAUAUUGCACAAUGGGCGCAAGCCUGAUGCAGCCAUGCCGCGUGUAUGAAGAAGGCCUUCGGGUUGUAAAGUACUUUCAGCGGGGAGGAAGGUGUUGUGGUUAAUAACCNCAGCAAUUGACGUUACCCGCAGAAGAAGCACCGGCUAACUCCGUGCCAGCAGCCGCGGUAAUACGGAGGGUGCAAGCGUUAAUCGGAAUUACUGGGCGUAAAGCGCACGCAGGCGGUCUGUCAAGUCGGAUGUGAAAUCCCCGGGCUCAACCUGGGAACUGCAUUCGAAACUGGCAGGCUGGAGUCUUGUAGAGGGGGGUAGAAUUCCAGGUGUAGCGGUGAAAUGCGUAGAGAUCUGGAGGAAUACCGGUGGCGAAGGCGGCCCCCUGGACAAAGACUGACGCUCAGGUGCGAAAGCGUGGGGAGCAAACAUGGAUUAGAUACCCUGGUAGUCCACGCCCGUAAAAACGGAAUUGUUCGAUUUGGAGGUUGUGCCCUUGAGGCGUGGCUUCCGGAGCUAACGCGUUAAAUCGACCGCCUGGGGAGUACGGCCGCAAGGUUAAAACUCAAAUGAAUUGACGGGGGCCCGCACAAGCGGUGGAGCAUGUGGUUUAAUUCGAUGCAACGCGAAGAACCUUACCUGGUCUUGACAUCCACAGAACUUUCCAGAGAUGGAUUGGUGCCUUCGGGAACUGUGAGACAGGUGCUGCAUGGCUGUCGUCAGCUCGUGUUGUGAAAUGUUGGGUUAAGUCCCGCAACGAGCGCAACCCUUAUCCUUUGUUGCCAGCGGUUNGGCCGGGAACUCAAAGGAGACUGCCAGUGAUAAACUGGAGGAAGGUGGGGAUGACGUCAAGUCAUCAUGGCCCUUACGACCAGGGCUACACACGUGCUACAAUGGCGCAUACAAAGAGAAGCGACCUCGCGAGAGCAAGCGGACCUCAUAAAGUGCGUCGUAGUCCGGAUUGGAGUCUGCAACUCGACUCCAUGAAGUCGGAAUCGCUAGUAAUCGUAGAUCAGAAUGCUACGGUGAAUACGUUCCCGGGCCUUGUACACACCGCCNGUCACACCAUGGGAGUGGGUUGCAAAAGAAGUAGGUAGCUUAACCUUCGGGAGGGCGCUUACCACUUUGUGAUUCAUGACUGGGGUGA